Molecule: ribosomal RNA, 429 nt
Filed under: Chloroflexota bacterium
Lineage: Bacteria; Bacillati; Chloroflexota
Description: Chloroflexi bacterium partial 16S ribosomal RNA
Rfam family: Bacterial small subunit ribosomal RNA
Source: RNAcentral
UGGGGAAUAUUGCACAAUGGGCGCAAGCCUGAUGCAGCCAUGCCGCGUGUAUGAAGAAGGCCUUCGGGUUGUAAAGUACUUUCAGUCGGGAGGAAGGUGUCAAGGUUAAUAACCUUGGCAAUUGACGUUACCGACAGAAGAAGCACCGGCUAACUCCGUGCCAGCAGCCGCGGUAAUACGGAGGGUGCAAGCGUUAAUCGGAAUUACUGGGCGUAAAGCGCACGCAGGCGGUUGAUUGAGUCAGAUGUGAAAUCCCCGGGCUCAACCUGGGAACUGCAUUCGAAACUGGCAGGCUAGAGUCUUGUAGAGGGGGGUAGAAUUCCAGGUGUAGCGGUGAAAUGCGUAGAGAUCUGGAGGAAUACCGGUGGCGAAGGCGGCCCCCUGGACAAAGACUGACGCUCAGGUGCGAAAGCGUGGGGAGCAAACAGG